RNAcentral lists this ribosomal RNA (446 nucleotides) under Amorphochlora amoebiformis. RNAcentral's name for it is "partial Eukaryotic large subunit ribosomal RNA". It matches the Rfam family "Eukaryotic large subunit ribosomal RNA", at positions 2407 to 2817 of the family's 3401-position model. Lineage: Eukaryota; Cercozoa; Chlorarachniophyceae. The record is from RNAcentral.
AAGACCCUGUUGAGCUUGACUCUAUUCUGAAGCUGUUGAGCGACUUUAGAGGUGUAGCAUAGGUGGGAGCUUCGGCGAUACUGAAAUACCACUACUCUCGAGCUCGUUCUGCUAAUCUCGCUAACCCGAUCCAAGACGCCCCGAUCAAUCCCAGGAUGCUUGGGGGCGCGCUACGCGCGUGUAUUAAUGGCUUGUGGUUUGCUUGGCAAUACCUCUAUCGGAAACGAGAGACACCUUCAGAUGGGGAGUUCGGCUGGGGCGGUACACCCGCUAAAAGAUAACGCGGAUGUCCUAUGAUCAGCUCAUCGAGGACGGAAACCUCGUGUAGCGCGCAAGGGUAGAAGCUGAUUUGAUUUCGAUUCUCAGUAGGAAUCUGAACUGCGAAAGCAUGGCCUAGCGAUCCUUUAGCCUUUCUGGAUCUGAAGCUAGAGGUGUCAGAAAAGUUA